This is a long non-coding RNA of Hippocampus comes (tiger tail seahorse), 458 nucleotides long. RefSeq lists it as uncharacterized. NCBI's taxonomy places the organism in Eukaryota, Metazoa, Chordata, Actinopteri, Syngnathiformes, Syngnathidae. The transcript has 3 exons. The record is from RefSeq and is a predicted model, not a curated record.
GAACCGGAGUUCCCUAUCCCAGCGUUAGGGGAAUCGUGUAGUUUUGUGAGAUUAGCGAUUCGUUCAAAUGUGGCUGCAAUGCAUCACUGCAGGAUGCAGCUAUGGAUCUAUUGUAAACCCAACAGCACUCAAUAAGAGAAGAAUGCGUUGCCUAUCUGCUGUCACCGCCGAGGGGAUCAAGUCGGCGGGACUGUCCCACGCGCUCCAUGCACCGCGCAGAGCAUCAUUCGGAGGGACACAGUGAGGAGCAGUGCAGCAUCCUCGCAUGCGUGGACUCGUCGACAUCACCCUGCAACCUGUCUCACCUCAACAGCUCACAUUCGGCUCAAUUAACUUAUCGUCGGACUGUGGGUGACAGUACGAUGAGGAACUUGGCGCUUCUGCUCGGAGUAAAAGCCGCCUGCAUCCUGCUGGUGUCGUCGCUCUCCGGCACCGGGGCAGUCAACAACAGUGGCCGC